GUGGCAAGCGUUGUCCGGAUUUAUUGGGCGUAAAGCGAGUGCAGGCGGUUCUAUAAGUCUGAUGUGAAAGCCCUCGGCCCAACCCGGGAACUGCUUUAGAAACUGUUGAACUUGAGUGCAGAAGAGGAGAGUGGAACUCCAUGUGUAGCGGUGGAAUGCGUAGAUAUAUGGAAGAACACCAGUGGCGAAGGCGGCUCUCUGGUCUGCAACUGACGCUGAGGCUCGAAAGCAUGGGUAGCGAAC
This 243-nucleotide ribosomal RNA is filed under the name uncultured bacterium. Its description in RNAcentral is "partial 16S ribosomal RNA". It matches the Rfam family "Bacterial small subunit ribosomal RNA", at positions 531 to 773 of the family's 1533-position model. The record is from RNAcentral.